This is a non-coding RNA of Caenorhabditis elegans, 21 nucleotides long. NCBI's taxonomy places the organism in Eukaryota, Metazoa, Nematoda, Chromadorea, Rhabditida, Rhabditidae. The record is from Ensembl.
UAUUUUUUUAUUAGAAAAGAG